RNAcentral lists this ribosomal RNA (556 nucleotides) under Babesia gibsoni. RNAcentral's name for it is "SSU rRNA". It matches the Rfam family "Eukaryotic small subunit ribosomal RNA", at positions 473 to 1086 of the family's 1831-position model. Lineage: Eukaryota; Apicomplexa; Aconoidasida; Piroplasmida; Babesiidae. The record is from RNAcentral.
AGAAAUAACAAUACAGGGCAAUUGUCUUGUAAUUGGAAUGAUGGUGACGUAAAAUCUCACCAGAGUAACAAUUGGAGGGCAAGUCUGCUGCCAGCAGCCACGGUAAUUCCAGCUCCAAUAGCGUAUAUUAAACUUGUUGCAGUUAAAAAGCUCGUAGUUGAAUUUCUGCGUUGCCCGACUCGGCUACUUGCCUUGUCUGGUUUCGCUUUUGGGGUUUUCCCCUUUUUACUUUGAGAAAAUUAGAGUGUUUCAAGCAGACUUGUGUCUUGAAUACUUCAGCAUGGAAUAAUAAAGUAGGACUUUGGUUCUAUUUUGUUGGUUUGUGAACCUUAGUAAUGGUUAAUAGGAACGGUUGGGGGCAUUCGUAUUUAACUGUCAGAGGUGAAAUUCUUAGAUUUGUUAAAGACGAACUACUGCGAAAGCAUUUGCCAAGGACGUUUUCAUUAAUCAAGAACGAAAGUUAGGGGAUCGAAGACGAUCAGAUACCGUCGUAGUCCUAACCAUAAACCAUGCCGACUAGGGAUUGGAGGUCGUCAUUUUUCGACUCCUUCAGCAC